GAUUUACAUUUGAGUGAGUGGCGAACUGGUGAGUAACACGUGGGAAACCUGCCCAGAAGCGGGGGAUAACACCUGGAAACAGAUGCUAAUACCGCAUAACAACUUGGACCGCAUGGUCCGAGCUUGAAAGAUGGCUUCGGCUAUCACUUUUGGAUGGUCCCGCGGCGUAUUAGCUAGAUGGUGGGGUAACGGCUCACCAUGGCAAUGAUACGUAGCCGACCUGAGAGGGUAAUCGGCCACAUUGGGACUGAGACACGGCCCAAACUCCUACGGGAGGCAGCAGUAGGGAAUCUUCCACAAUGGACGAAAGUCUGAUGGAGCAACGCCGCGUGAGUGAAGAAGGGUUUCGGCUCGUAAAACUCUGUUGUUAAAGAAGAACAUAUCUGAGAGUAACUGUUCAGGUAUUGACGGUAUUUAACCAGAAAGCCACGGCUAACUACGUGCCAGCAGCCGCGGUAAUACGUAGGUGGCAAGCGUUGUCCGGAUUUAUUGGGCGUAAAGCGAGCGCAGGCGGUUUUUUAAGUCUGAUGUGAAAGCCUUUGGCUCAACCGAAGAAGUGCAUUGGAAACUGGGAAACUUGAAUGCAGAAGAGGACCGUGGAAUUCCAUGUGGAACGGUGAAAUGCGUGGAUAUAGGAAGGACCACCAGUGGCGAAGGCGGCUGUCUGGUCUGUAACUGACGCUGAGGCUCGAAAGUAUGGGUAGCAAACAGGAUUAGAUACCCUGGUAGUCCAUACCGUAAACGAUGAAUGCUAAGUGUUGGAGGGUUUCCGCCCUUCAGUGCUGCAGCUAACGCAUUAAGCAUUCCGCCUGGGGAGUACGGCCGCAAGGCUGAAACUCAAAGGAAUUGACGGGGGCCCGCACAAGCGGUGGAGCAUGUGGUUUAAUUCGAAGCUACGCGAAGAACCUUACCAGGUCUUGACAUACUAUGCAAAUCUAAGAGAUUAGACGUUCCCUUCGGGGACAUGGAUACAGGUGGUGCAUGGUUGUCGUCAGCUCGUGUCGUGAGAUGUUGGGUUAAGUCCCGCAACGAGCGCAACCCUUAUUAUCAGUUGCCAGCAUUAAGUUGGGCACUCUGGUGAGACUGCCGGUGACAAACCGGAGGAAGGUGGGGAUGACGUCAAAUCAUCAUGCCCCUUAUGACCUGGGCUACACACGUGCUACAAUGGAUGGUACAACGAGUUGCGAACUCGCGAGAGUAAGCUAAUCUCUUAAAGCCAUUCUCAGUUCGGAUUGUAGGCUGCAACUCGCCUACAUGAAGUCGGAAUCGCUAGUAAUCGCGGAUCAGCAUGCCGCGGUGAAUACGUUCCCGGGCCUUGU
Molecule: ribosomal RNA, 1319 nt
Filed under: Lactiplantibacillus pentosus
Lineage: Bacteria; Bacillati; Bacillota; Bacilli; Lactobacillales; Lactobacillaceae
Description: bacterial SSU rRNA
Rfam family: Bacterial small subunit ribosomal RNA
Source: RNAcentral